GCUUUCAUGGUGUAGUGGUCAGCACACUCGGCGCGUAUUCGAGAGGUCCGUGGUUUGAAUCCCGGAGAGGGCA
Molecule: transfer RNA, 73 nt
Filed under: Stegodyphus mimosarum
Lineage: Eukaryota; Metazoa; Arthropoda; Arachnida; Araneae; Eresidae
Rfam family: tRNA
About the family: Transfer RNA (tRNA) molecules are approximately 80 nucleotides in length. Their secondary structure includes four short double-helical elements and three loops (D, anti-codon, and T loops).
Source: Rfam by way of RNAcentral